Molecule: ribosomal RNA, 499 nt
Filed under: uncultured bacterium
Lineage: Bacteria
Description: partial 16S ribosomal RNA
Rfam family: Bacterial small subunit ribosomal RNA
Source: RNAcentral
GACGAACGCUGGCGGCGUGCCUAAUACAUGCAAGUCGAGCGAAGUUUUUCUGGUGCUUGCCCUAGAAAAACUUAGCGGCGAACGGGUGAGUAACACGUAAAGAACCUGCCUCAUAGACUGGGACAACUAUUGGAAACGAUAGCUAAUACCGGAUAACAGUAUUUCUCGCAUGAGAGAUAUUUAAAAGUUGGUUAUACUAACACUAUGAGAUGGCUUUGCGGUGCAUUAGCUAGUUGGUGGGGUAAAGGCCCACCAAGGCGACGAUGCAUAGCCGACCUGAGAGGGUGAUCGGCCACACUGGGACUGAGACACGGCCCAGACUCCUACGGGAGGCAGCAGUAGGGAAUCUUCCGCAAUGGGCGAAAGCCUGACGGAGCAACGCCGCGUGAGUGAAGAAGGAUUUCGGUUCGUAAAGCUCUGUUGUUAGGGAAGAAUGGAUAUGUAGUAACUAUACAUGUAAGAGACGGUACCUAACCAGAAAGCCACGGCUAACUACGUG